RNA transcript from Ctenopharyngodon idella (grass carp), 5410 nucleotides. It is a transcript of the gene named glutamate receptor, ionotropic, AMPA 1a, with no coding region annotated. Lineage: Eukaryota; Metazoa; Chordata; Actinopteri; Cypriniformes; Xenocyprididae. The transcript is spliced from 16 exons. The record is from RefSeq and is a predicted model, not a curated record.
GGUUGAGAAGCACUUCUCUGAAACAUCAUUUCAAAAUAUGCGCUCAUGUUUGUUUACGCGUUAUUCGCCAUCGUCUCUUUGUGCGUAACAAGACGCACAGUUAAACACGAGACCGCUGGCUUAUUCAACCAUACAGUAAGUGCUUAACUGUGAACGUAAGAAGAAAGUCCAUGGUGUUGCGCUGGAGUGGAAUACGGUUAUCGGGGUCCCUCACUCACUCUCUCUCGCGCGCGCGUCCGCGGCUCUCAGAGGAAGUGCUGCUUGUGCUGAAAGAACGGCUGUGAGCGCAACACACAAGGACGCAGCGCGAGAGAGGACAGCACGAGCAAAGAGGUUCACCUGUAAUCCACGCUGCUCACUCGCCGAUGUGCGAAUAGUGUGAGAGCAUCCAGAAGAGAUAUUCUACACCACGCGCAUACCCAUGCUUGGGAUUUGGCUUUCUUUUUCUUCGCUAAUGCAAAAGGAAAUAUGCAGCGAAGCCUCACACUGCUCUGCACCAGUUUUCUGGGAUUGUGCUUCGGUUCCAGUUUCCCAAGUAAUAUCAACAUAGGAGGAUUAUUCCCAACCGAAUCACACGAAUAUGAAGUGUUUCGGUUUGCGCUCUCGCAACACCAGGAAAUCCCUAAACUGGUACCUCAAGUGGAUAUGGUCAAAAUGGGGAAUAGCUUCUCCAUGACAUAUGCUUUCUGUUCGCAGUUCUCAAAAGGAGUAUACGCCAUCAUCGGCGUGUACGACAGGAAGACCGUCAACAUGUUGAUGUCGUUCUGCGGUGCGCUACACGUCUGCUUUGUGACGCCCAGCUUCCCCAUGGAAAACUCCAACCAGUUUGUCAUCCAGCUGAGACCUGAACUGCAAGACGCCCUGGUGGGCGUUAUCGAGCACUACAAGUGGUCCAAGUUCAUCUACAUGUACAGCUCGGACUCUGGACUGUCAGUUCUGCAGAAGGUUCUGGACACAGCAGCAGAGCAUAACUGGCUUGUGACCUCUGUGAAUGUGGAGACAAUGACAGAAGCAUCCUUCCUCAAAGUGUUCCAGGACCUGGACAAAAGGAAGGAGGGCCAGAUCAUCAUUGACUGUGAGCUGGAGAGACUCACCUCCAUCCUGAAGAAGAUCAUCGAGCUGGGGAAGAACGUGAAGAGUUACCACUACAUCCUAGCAAACCUGGGAUUUCUGGACAUCGACCUGACAGAGUUUAAGAAGGGUGAGGCGAAUGUAACAGGCUUCCAGCUAGUGAACUACGCAAACCCUAAUGUCAGUAGGACAGUGCAGCAGUGGAUGGACUUUGAAAACAAAGACUCCAAAGUUCCCAAGCGAGGACUGAAGUACACUGGAGCUCUCACAUAUGAUGGGGUCAAAGUCAUGUCCACAGCCUUCCAGAACCUCCGCAGGCAGAGGAUAGAUAUAUCUCGCCGUGGAAAUGCUGGAGAAUGUCUGGCCAACCCACCAGCACCUUGGGGCCAGGGCAUUGAUAUUCAGAGAGCACUUCAACAGGUUCGGAUUGAAGGCUUAACGGGACACAUUCAGUUUAACGAAAAAGGACGGAGGACAAACUACACUGUCAAUGUGAUGGAGCUCAGGCCGACGGGACCAAAGAAAGUGGGUUACUGGAAUGAGGAUGAGAAAUUUGUGAGCACGGCGGCCUACAUGCCAGGCAGUAAUGAUACUUCCGGACUACAGAACCGCACAUAUAUUGUUACCACUAUUCUGGAAUCGCCAUAUGUCAUGCUGAAGAAGAAUCACGAGCAGUUUACAGGAAAUGAUAAAUAUGAAGGUUACUGUGUGGAACUGGCAGCAGAGAUAGCCAAACAUGUGGGAUACCACUACAUGCUCAAGAUAGUGGCUGAUGGGAAAUAUGGAGCCAGAGAUCCUGAGACCAUGAUGUGGAAUGGGAUGGUGGGAGAGCUCGUCUAUGGUAAAGCUGACGUAGCUGUGGCCCCACUGACCAUAACCCUUGUCAGGGAGGAAGUCAUUGAUUUCUCCAAGCCUUUCAUGAGCCUCGGCAUCUCCAUCAUGAUCAAAAAGCCCACCAAGUCCAAGCCUGGUGUGUUCUCCUUCCUGGACCCUCUGGCCUAUGAGAUCUGGAUGUGUAUUGUGUUUGCCUACAUCGGUGUAAGCGUGGUGCUUUUCCUAGUCAGCCGCUUUAGUCCCUACGAGUGGCACGCAGAUGACUGUGAGGAUGGAGCUGAGCAGAACCCUAACCAGCCCUCCUCGUCAUCCGCCCAACCGGGUCAGGGCCAACAGAACCAGAACCAGCAGAGUCAGGAGCAGACCAAUGAGUUUGGCAUCUUCAACAGUCUCUGGUUCUCACUGGGAGCUUUCAUGCAGCAGGGCUGUGAUAUCUCCCCCAGGUCUCUCUCUGGCCGUAUCGUGGGUGGUGUGUGGUGGUUCUUCACUCUAAUCAUCAUCUCCUCAUACACAGCCAACCUAGCUGCUUUUCUCACAGUGGAGAGGAUGGUGUCACCCAUCGAGAGUGCAGAGGAUCUGGCUAAACAGACUGAGAUUGCUUAUGGGACUCUAGACGCCGGCUCCACCAAAGAGUUCUUUAGGAGGUCAAAGAUUGCGGUCUUUGAGAAGAUGUGGUCUUAUAUGAAAUCAGCAGACCCCUCAGUGUUUGUAAAAACCACAGAUGAAGGAGUUAUACGGGUGAGGAAGUCCAAGGGGAAGUAUGCCUAUCUUCUGGAGUCCACCAUGAAUGAGUACAUCGAGCAGCGCAAGCCCUGUGACACUAUGAAGGUUGGAGGGAACCUGGACUCCAAAGGCUACGGCAUCGCCACCCCCAAAGGAUCCCUUCUCAGAAACCCAGUAAACCUGGCAGUGUUAAAACUGAAUGAACAAGGCCUGUUGGACAAAUUGAAAAACAAAUGGUGGUACGACAAAGGAGAGUGUGGCAGCGGAGGAGGUGAUUCCAAGGUCAGCCCCAAUGUGACAAACCCAACGGGACAAGACCAGUGCUCUUAGCCUCAGCAAUGUGGCUGGGGUCUUCUACAUUCUGAUCGGCGGUCUGGGUCUGGCCAUGCUGGUGGCCCUGGUGGAGUUCUGCUACAAGUCCAGAACAGAGUCCCGCAGAAUGAAGCAAUCCAUCAACGACGCCAUGCGCUGCUCCACGCUGACCAGGAUGAGCGGGAACGGUAGCGGCGGGGAGAACGGGCGGAUCGUCACACAUGACUUCCCCAAAGCUGUGCAGACGCUGCCGUGCAUGAGCCACGCGGCCAGCAUGGGCCUGGGAGCCUCUGGCAUGUGACCAUCUUGACGGAGCGGCACGCGUCACAUGUAACGCACGGACCUCCCGUUCACCUGCCGUCUGCCCCUAUGUCUGUCUGCCCGCCCCGCAACAGACGCACCGUACUGCCAAAAUGCACUCGAAGACUCUUCUCAGUGAAUAGCCACCAAUAAAACUCUUUUCUAAAGAAAGACGAAACAUUUCAAAAAAGAAAAAAAAAAUGUGCUGCAAUAACAAGCCUGUGGAACUCUUUUGGGGAAAAAAAGUGUUCGUUUAUGUCAUGAAUUCAAAAAAACAAAAAAAGAGAAGUCACGUGUCCGAUUCGACACUCGCGCUGUGCCAAUAUUAUAAACCUGUUUACUUCUGUCUGAGUGUGCAAUAUUUUAGUUCAUAUCAGUGUUCGGCAAUGUUGUCUCUAACUUGAUUUUCUUUUCAAGGAUUAGCUCACAGAGAUGUUUUGUUUUUUGCACAGAUAUGUUCUACGAUAUGACAAAUACAGCAUUUCUGUAAGUUCCUUUUCCUUAUACUUACUAGAAAAGAGUUAGAGUAAGCUAAUGAGCAAGAUCUUACUCAUUUAUAUGGAUCCAGUGCCCCGUAAACAACUUUGCUUAUUUCUCUCCGUCACUCUGCGUGUUGAAGAAACAUAUCAGCUCAUUUAGCGACCUGUCGAUAGUGUAAAUACUCCGAUGUAAAUCUGAAACUGAGUGAGAGAUAAAUUGAUUUGUUGUCAUUCGGUAGAGCAUAGCUGAAAUUAACUUGUUGAUAAUCUUGCUCUGUGAUUUCCCAUCUCAUGGACCUUGCAUAGCUGCUACGCCUCGUUUCAGGCACCAUACCUCAUCAGAGACCUGGGAGUGAGCCGCCAUAUGUUUUGAUUGCCACUUCAUUGGGAGCUCUCCCAGGAAGGAGGAAAAUUUGACCUCAGUUAUGGGCAAAUGUGCUUAAAUGAGCUAGUUUUUGCCCACCACAAACCACCAGAUCUCAUUAAAGAGAAGCCAUUGAGUAUGCAUUAUGAGAAGUUAUUCGUCAAUGGUGGUGCUGUAACAAAAAAGGACUUGUGAUGAUACUUUGUUAAUGAUUCGUUCAUAUACAACAAGGCCUGCAUGGAAUAUUUCAGAGAUUUCCACCAAAUCCAAAUGCCCAUCGUUCAGUUUAUACACAUCCUCUGUCAGUAUUUGGCUAAUUUGAUAAUGCUAAGAUUGUAACACUCUCGGUUUUAUACAUCUGAAAUCCAUUCAACAGAUUGUCCCCCUCAAUCAGUGCAGAAAUUGUAAAACAUGAUAUGUGGGCCUAAAUGUGACAUGGCCAAUGAAAAUGAUCAUCAUUUGAUCACAUGAGGGUAAAUAAAUAAUGACAGAUUUUUUGUCUGUGAACAAAGUUUUCUGUUAAUAGAACAAACAAAGAAAAGAAAGCAGAUCAGCUAGGCCUACAAGAUCCAGACAGGCGAAACAGGCUGUUCUGUCCUAUACACACACUGUGCAACAAUGUUUGUGGAGAUAUCAUUGAUCGGCUUCUGGAGCCAAGCUGACCUUUCAGAGCUCUUGGCUUCAUCACUGCAGGCUUUCAGAACAUGGCUUCCAGCUCAACAUAAACAGCUCUACCUAUUCAGCCUUCCCCUGCACACUGCCAUUGUACCGUGAAACAUGACACACUGUGUGGCCAUCGAAACUCUUAUAUUUCUCUGGCUUUUUCUUUCCAUUUCCUUGACGUGUUUUAUUAGGCACAGAACACUGCGGUCCUUUAUGGCCUCAUGUGAGAGCAGUAUUUUAUAAGCAGUAAAAGAUUUGUAAAGUUCAAGUGAGACAUUUAACAUUUAUACUGCUGUGAGAUUUUGAAGAGUUGAUUGAACUAGUGUUUUACACAUUGUUGAUGCAAUGUUACAUGAUAAUGAUGGAUAUUCUCACUGAUAAGGAUGAUGAUUUUGAUUAGCGAAGAGAGAAAUCUGGUCUUUAAGAGUCUUUGUGUUUCUGCUAUAACAAUGAUGAUACUUCUUAUUUUUGGGGUAUUUUAAUGCAAAAUUUUUCUUCACGCUCACCUACUUCUUGACUAUUCCACAAACGUUAGCAUUUUAUUUGGGAUCUUAUUGUUUUUGUUUGUUUUGUUUUGUAUUGUUUAUCAUAAAGGAGAGAUGUGGUUGAAAUUUUACUGGAAAAUACAUUCAAUAAAUAAUGAAUAAAACUUUUCUAACCACAA